Molecule: long non-coding RNA, 1113 nt
Organism: Ipomoea triloba (trilobed morning glory)
Lineage: Eukaryota; Viridiplantae; Streptophyta; Magnoliopsida; Solanales; Convolvulaceae
Exons: 8
Source: RefSeq, a predicted model, not a curated record
CUCCAGCGUCGCCAUCCAACGCCGCUGCUCUAGCUCGGUCGCCGUCCAGCCCCAUCGCCGGAUACAGGAAAAGAUCUGCUGAAAAACUGUACGGAUAUAAAGGUGAUGAAGCAAUUGCACCUUCUGUACCCAAUCUGGCAUGGUUGAGGCUCUGCAAGUGCCUGGAACAAGAUUUCCUUCCUUAUAUGAGUGUAGUCAUGCCUCCUUUGCUUCAGUCUGCUCAGCUUAAACAUGAUGUGACUAUAACCUCAGCUGAUUCAGACAAUGAAAUUGAUGAAUCAGAUGAUGACAGCAUGGAGACAAUCACUCUUGGGGAUAAGAGAAUAGGGAUUAACACAAGUGUUCUUGAGGAAAAAGCAACAACCUGUAGUCCUGUAAUAUGCUAUGUUGCUAUGCUGAUGAGUUGAAAGAAGGCUUUUACCCAUGGAUUGAUCAGCCAUGCCACAGUUGUUACAUUCUGCGAAGUUAGCAAUUGAGAAAGGGCUUGCUCAAGGCCCUAAUGAGGCUUAUGUCAAGCAGUUGUCAGACUAUGUAGUACCAGCUCUUGUUGAAGCUUUGCACAAGGAACCUGAUACAGAAAUAUGUGCAAACAUGUUAGGACUCGUUGAAUGAAUGCUUGCAGAUCUCUGGACCUCUCCUGGAUGAAGCUCAGGCCCGAAGCAUUGUGGAUGAAAUUAAGCAGGUUAUAACUGCCAGUUCAAGUAGAAAAAGAGAUCGGGCAGAGAGAGAGAGAAAGCUGAAGAUUUUGAUGCAGAGGAGAGUGAAUUGCUUAAAGAGGAAAAUGAGGAAGAAGAAGAAGUUUUUGACCAAAUCCAUGAAGCAGACAUUUCUAGGUUGUCAUUUGCAGUUGAGCUUUGCUGAAGAGUUCUAUGGAAGGGGCAAGAUGUUGCAUUUGAACCUGGGUGAUAACAGCACAGCCUUCUGCUUAACACAGGUAGUACUGAUUAAUUUAGUUUGCUAUUUCUUUCCAGUUGAUAAUUAGGCUUAGACUAUUGCAGUUGAGGGCAUUUAUUUGCCUAGAUUAAGUUAAUAACACCCACCAAGGAUUUUUAGAAGACUGAAUAUUUGGUUAUGAAGUCUAUCAUUUUUAUAGAGUUUCUUAUUUCCAGCUUA